RNAcentral lists this ribosomal RNA (508 nucleotides) under uncultured bacterium. RNAcentral's name for it is "partial 16S ribosomal RNA". It matches the Rfam family "Bacterial small subunit ribosomal RNA", at positions 28 to 507 of the family's 1533-position model. The record is from RNAcentral.
GACGAACGCUGGCGGCGUGCCUAAUACAUGCAAGUCGAACGCUUCUUUCCUCCCGAGUGCUUGCACUCAAUUGGAAAGAGGAGUGGCGGACGGGUGAGUAACACGUGGGUAACCUACCCAUCAGAGGGGGAUAACACUUGGAAACAGGUGCUAAUACCGCAUAACAGUUUAUGCCGCAUGGCAUAAGAUUGAAAGGCGCUCUCGGUUGUCGCUGAUGGAUGGACCCGCGGUGCAUUAGCUAGUUGGUGAGGUAACGGCUCACCAAGGCCACGAUGCAUAGCCGACCUGAGAGGGUGAUCGGCCACACUGGGACUGAGACACGGCCCAGACUCCUACGGGAGGCAGCAGUAGGGAAUCUUCGGCAAUGGACGAAAGUCUGACCGAGCAACGCCGCGUGAGUGAAGAAGGUUUUCGGAUCGUAAAACUCUGUUGUUAGAGAAGAAGAAGGACGUUAGUAACUGAACGUCCCCUGACGGUAGCUAAACAGAAAGCCACGGCUAACUACGUG